CACUGCAAAUACAUCAGAUAAACACUUGAAAUCAGUAGAAGGCUUUAAAACAAACACAUAGGAGAUUACAUAGGAGGAACUACUCUGAGCUGAUACUCACUCCUGGUUUGGGCAAUCUCAACGCUUAUAUAUAGAUCACAGGUGGUUAAAGAGACUUAAAUCAAGGCAAAUUAAGACGUUUUUUGCUGUCUUUACCCCAUUGGACAUGUGUAGUGGGUAGUAUCGCAACUUAUUUCCCCGAGGAGGCAUUUCUCGUACACACCCGGCCCCAGCCGUGGAGGGAGGAGGCUGGUGUGUUAUUUUUGUGUUUUUUGAAGCGAAUUAUCCUGUUGCCGAGGGAGCCAUGCAUCUAGAAACGGCCAGGGAAGGAGACGGUGGCUGAGUGGUUAGCGUGCCGGUCCUGCGUUCGCUGCGUCAUGGAUGAUGAGGGUUUCAAUCUGCUGCUGCCACAGACUACUUGUCCUGAAGACCACCACCAUCAUCCUGGACUGUAUGGGACUGUCCAAGGAAGGCUAGAUGGGGCAGCUAUAAACACUUGCCGGCUUGGGCCCACCACCAGGCCCAGCCAAGGGAGGUUGGUGUAGCAGUGCUGGGAGGUUCCAUAACACAGGGCACUCCUCACCUCAACAACAGUCUCUUCACCGACAAGUAAUUCUUCACCAACAAGCUUUUCAGCAGCUUGGAGGAAUAGCAGAUGUGAGUGAUCCUGUUUUAACCACGUCUAAUAAGUGUCAACAGCUGUUCCAACCAUUCCGAUUUGAGGUAGUGUGUCAGCCUCUGAGGCCGGUCCGUCCAUCCCUGUCAGUAUCCUGCGUGAUACAGGUGCCUCGCACAGUAUUGUGACACUACCAAACGAAGAAGAGGAGGAGGAGGAGGAGGAGGACUGGGAAGAAGACGAGGAACACAGGAGGAACCCAUUGAGAGAACAAGAAGAAGAAGAAGAAGAAGAAGAGGAGGACACAGGAAUUCCUUGAAUUGAAUGGCUGGCGUCUCGGUCUGCCUGCCUGUGGGACACCGCACACUCUGGAAGAAGAAAGAACACCAAGAUGUCAAGUUCCUGCAUAAUCAGCCUCUUAGUGAAGGAAAUGUGCUCUAUUUAUUUAAUAAAUGAUUGACAAAAAAAUAAU
Long non-coding RNA from Eriocheir sinensis (Chinese mitten crab), 1127 nucleotides. RefSeq lists it as uncharacterized. The transcript has 7 exons. The record is from RefSeq and is a predicted model, not a curated record. NCBI's taxonomy places the organism in Eukaryota, Metazoa, Arthropoda, Malacostraca, Decapoda, Varunidae.